This is a long non-coding RNA of Hippocampus comes (tiger tail seahorse), 1018 nucleotides long. RefSeq lists it as uncharacterized. The record is from RefSeq and is a predicted model, not a curated record. The transcript has 2 exons. Lineage: Eukaryota; Metazoa; Chordata; Actinopteri; Syngnathiformes; Syngnathidae.
CACACAAGGCAAGCGGUGAAGUCAUCAAGGUCAAGUGUUAGCGUCCUUUAUUUUUUUUCAACAUUUCACACGAACGGUAGUUAACUUCUUUCCAAAAAUGGAUGAUGGCCGAGCAAUGUCUUCAGCUACGCAUCCAUUACACGGAAGCCAUUUUAUUGUGGGAAGACGUUGACGCGGAACACGUCGGAGCUUCGACGUGAUGUUCUACUUUUGCACGUUGCUUCGCAAGUCAACGCUUGAACCUGCAACUCUGUCGCUGGUAAAUAUUGGAUUCAUCUGCUAUUCUACUUGGUGCUCAUGGGAAUAUUUUAGCACACAAGCGCACACGCACACACACCCAAAGUGGUCCCCGCAUCACCACUUCCACUCGGAAGCGAGCGAAACAGAAGCUGGAAGUUUACUGUGCCCGGUUUCCUGGAUCAAAGAAAAGGAUGAAGAUGAAGAGGAGAGUUUGGAGACGGAUGAUGAAGUUUUGGUGAAGGUUGCGCCAACAACCAAAAAAAAAGAGUGUCUAUCGCCAUGUCCAAAUGUUGCGUGUCAACGUGGGGCACCAUGCAAAAAUCCACCUUCAACCUGCAGGCCUUUCUUUCUCACAUCCCAGCACAUCACCCCCCACCCCCUUUCUAUUCAUAGGGCCUUCAAAACAGGAAAGACUUCCUGCAACUCAUUUUAGGAAAAACAAGCAGCUCAAACAAUCAGGCAAACCAAGCAGCACUGCGCUUGACAACGCCGAGAGCGGCAAUAAAGUAAAUGUGACCGCGUGGAGGAGACAUAAAAGGAUGCUGAAAUCGCAGCCCUCGUACAAACCUACUGCAAACGUGUAAGCAGUAGAAAUCCAGAUGAUGCUUCCUUGAUCAACCAACGAAUCAUCACCCAAGUAGAAUUCUCUCCGCUUCUUCUUGCUGCGGACGAUGAGAAUUUAAAUGAAAUGUUUAGCGCAAAGAAAUGUUUGCUUCAUGACGAGGCACAAGGGUGUUCAUCGUCAUUUCAAUUAAACCACAAUGCUAAUGUUGAGGAA